This is a long non-coding RNA of Oncorhynchus gorbuscha (pink salmon), 967 nucleotides long. RefSeq lists it as uncharacterized. Lineage: Eukaryota; Metazoa; Chordata; Actinopteri; Salmoniformes; Salmonidae. The record is from RefSeq and is a predicted model, not a curated record. The transcript has 2 exons.
CUUGUGGACACCAAAACAGGCUGAAAUUCCAGGCAGUCUUUUUCAAACAGCUCUAACACUAAAGAGCAUCAUCAUAAUUUAACAUUUUCACAGUAUUAUUCCAUCCUCAUAAUAUGGAAAUAGAUUAAAAUAAAAAACAAGUACAUCACUUUUUUGACUGCACGGGUCCUUUAAGGUCAGGGUGCGGUUAGGGUUGACUGAUCCUAAAUCUGUGGUUAUUUAGAGGCAACCUACCAUACGUUUUCUAGGACGUCACAAUCAGGAUGCAUCUCAAACAGGCAUUGGCCUGUCCAGUAUACACACAAACCUAUUAUUCAUGGAGAACUGAUCAUGUUUUUAUACGAUGUUUUGUAUAUCAUGAUUUAUUCAUUUCUCUUUUUGGGAGAGGAUGUCUUGAUUCUUCUGUUGGAUGUGUACAGAUCCUCUUCACCUUACAUUUUAUUUUAUUUUUACAUUUUUUUUUUUUUUGUGCACGACCAUUUUAAAACGGAGCAUAUGUCAUGAAAAUUCCUCCUCGUUUUUAAUGAAGAAUUGAUGAUGAUGAUAGUGAAGAUGAUUAUCAGGGACAUGACCCCUGACCUUAGUGACGGUUGUGGGGUUCAAGGUCGGGGUUCAGGAGUGGGGUUGUGUGAGGGUCAUGAUAUAAAAAAUACAUGGUUCAAUCUGAAAGUUGUACUCAUUAGGUCUGUUCCAGUCGAGCUUGCACACAACAACCAAUGGUUAUAUGCCACGUCAUGGACUUCAGUCGGGUAUCAGAUUGCUACAUCCGAUGGUAUCUGUUUCCCAGACACAGAUUUGUCCUGGACUAAACAUUCUCCAUGGAGAUUUUUCAUUGGAAUACAUUUUGAAUCAGGUACCAGACUUAAUCUGUCUGGUUAACUGGACCUAGAUGUGGUCAGCUGAUAGGUUAAACAUCUAUCCAGCCACUGAAGCGUAAUCAGCCUGGAACAUGUCCUCUGAGACGUAG